UACGGGAGGCAGCAGUAGGGAGUCUUCCGCAAUGGACGAAAGUCUGACGGAGCAACGCCGCGUGAGUGAUGAAGGUUUUCGGAUCGUAAAGCUCUGUUGUUAGGGAAGAACAAGUACCGUUCGAAUAGGGCGGCACCUUGACGGUACCUAACCAGAAAGCCACGGCUAACUACGUGCCAGCAGCCGCGGUAAUA
This 194-nucleotide ribosomal RNA is filed under the name Bacillus sp. enrichment culture clone L9. Its description in RNAcentral is "partial 16S ribosomal RNA". It matches the Rfam family "Bacterial small subunit ribosomal RNA", at positions 340 to 525 of the family's 1533-position model. Lineage: Bacteria; Bacillati; Bacillota; Bacilli; Caryophanales; Bacillaceae. The record is from RNAcentral.